Molecule: ribosomal RNA, 114 nt
Filed under: Minisyncoccota bacterium
Lineage: Bacteria; Bacillati; Minisyncoccota
Source: RNAcentral
UUUGGUGGCUUGGCGCCGGGGUCACACCCGUUCUCAUUCCGAACACGGAAGUUAAGCUCGGUAGCGGCGAUGGUAGUCUGGGUACAACCAGGCGAGAGUAGCUAGCCGCCAGAA